UACAGAGGUGGCAAGCGUUGUUCGGAAUUACUGGGCGUAAAGGGCGCGUAGGCGGCCUUGUAAGUCCUAUGUGAAAUCCCCCGGCUCAACUGGGGAACUGCACAGGAGACUGCUUGGCUUGAGUUCGGGAGAGGGAAGCGGAAUUCCGGGUGUAGCGGUGAAAUGCGUAGAUAUCCGGAGGAACACCAGUGGCGAAGGCGGCUUCCUGGCCUGUUCUUGACGCUGAGGCGCGAAAGCGAGGGGAGCAAACGGG
Molecule: ribosomal RNA, 253 nt
Filed under: uncultured bacterium
Lineage: Bacteria
Description: partial 16S ribosomal RNA
Rfam family: Bacterial small subunit ribosomal RNA
Source: RNAcentral